This 74-nucleotide transfer RNA is filed under the name archaeon. Its description in RNAcentral is "tRNA-Thr". It matches the Rfam family "tRNA". Rfam says of the family: Transfer RNA (tRNA) molecules are approximately 80 nucleotides in length. Their secondary structure includes four short double-helical elements and three loops (D, anti-codon, and T loops). The record is from RNAcentral.
GCCUCGGUGGCUUAGCCUGGUAUAGCAUUACCUUGGUAAGGUAAAGGUCGUGGGUUCGAAUCCCACCCGAGGCU